UCACGAUAAUGGCAAACCUGUCGGAAAGGCAGGGACGCAAAACUAGAGGGCCUAAGGGCGAGAGCCUAUGGCAGCCAGUUGCCGAA
Molecule: regulatory RNA element, 86 nt
Organism: Paenibacillus sp. D9
Lineage: Bacteria; Bacillati; Bacillota; Bacilli; Caryophanales; Paenibacillaceae
Rfam family: c-di-GMP-I riboswitch aptamer
About the family: GEMM was predicted in a large-scale screen for bacterial structured RNA regulatory elements. Genes associated with GEMM are involved in a diverse array of functions, including chemotaxis regulation, signal transduction, secretion and chitin.
Source: Rfam